GGGGCAGUGUGAGGGUAGUAAUGGUGCUUGUAGUGGUGGAGAGGUGAGUGUUGGUCUUUGUGGGCCGGAGUCGAUGGUUUUGGAGACGAAUUCAUCAUUCGGUUCGACUUCUUCUUCAGUUUCUCUGUCGAAUUUGCCCGCUAAGGGUCAGGUUGAGGAUCAUAGAGCGGGUUCUCUGGAUAACAAGGUCAAGUUGUCCACUUCAGAAUCAUUUGCAAGUGGCAAUAGUGUAGCUACUGCUGUUUCUCAUCCACAGACUUUGACUUAUCAAGACCCAGUUGCUUCAGUUCCUGCAACGGAGAAUACAAAUUCUUUCACCCCAUUAGAAUCUGUGAGUAAAAUCCUUGAUCCUUCCAUUGGGGUUGAGACGCAAAAAGUGGUUCAUGUUU
This 389-nucleotide unclassified non-coding RNA is filed under the name Hevea brasiliensis (rubber tree). The record is from RNAcentral. Lineage: Eukaryota; Viridiplantae; Streptophyta; Magnoliopsida; Malpighiales; Euphorbiaceae.